GAGUGUUGCGGAUGUUUCGCAGAAGUUGACCGAACUUGAUUAUUUAGAGGAAGUAAAAGUCGUAACAAGGUUUCCGUAGGUGAACCUGCGGAAGGAUCAUUAAAGUUCUCCUUUCAAGUUAUAAACAAAAACACAAUAUAUAAAAUACUUAUAUUGUAAAAUUAUGGCAAAUGCCAAAAAGAAACAAAAUAACAAUAAUAAAAAUGUUUAUUAUUGUAUCGCCUCCUAGGCAAAAAAGUAUAGUAUAAAGUGUUUGUGUGUGUUACACAUUACACAAAAAUUGACUUAUUUAUAUAAAAUUUGUAAAAACUGAAAUUGUGUGGACGUUAUACNAAAUUAAUUUGUAUAGAAAAUGUCUAAAAAUUUGAAAUACAUAAAAUUAUAGUUGUACUUGUAUAAAAUUGAAAAGUAAUUUUUUAUAUAAGUCAAUCAUUGUUCGUUUUUUAAGAACUUGAGACAUUCGCAACAAAAAUUUUAUGUUUUAGUUAUAAAAGAGAAGAAUAAUAAGCAAAAAUUAUUGAAGGAAUUGAUAUAUGCCAAUUUGAAA
This 547-nucleotide ribosomal RNA is filed under the name Belvosia sp. Woodley04A. RNAcentral's name for it is "partial ribosomal RNA". The stretch from base 1 to 102 matches the Rfam family "Eukaryotic small subunit ribosomal RNA", at positions 1703 to 1831 of the family's 1831-position model. The record is from RNAcentral. Lineage: Eukaryota; Metazoa; Arthropoda; Insecta; Diptera; Tachinidae.